GACGAACGCUGGCGGCGUGCUUAACACAUGCAAGUCGAACGGAAAGGCCCUGCUUUUGUGGGGUGCUCGAGUGGCGAACGGGUGAGUAACACGUGAGUAACCUGCCCUUGACUUUGGGAUAACUUCAGGAAACUGGGGCUAAUACCGGAUAGGAGCUCCUGCUGCAUGGUGGGGGUUGGAAAGUUUCGGCGGGUGGGGAUGGACUCGCGGCUUAUCAGCUUGUUGGUGGGGUAGUGGCUUACCAAGGCUUUGACGGGUAGCCGGCCUGAGGGGGUGACCGGCCACAUUGGGACUGAGAUACGGCCCAGACUCCUACGGGAGGCAGCAGUGGGGAAUAUUGCACAAUGGGCGGAAGCCUGAUGCAGCAACGCCGCGUGCGGGAUGACGGCCUUCGGGUUGUAAACCGCUUUCGCCUGUGACGAAGCGUGAGUGACGGUAAUGGGUAAAGAAGCACCGGCUAACUACGUG
This 468-nucleotide ribosomal RNA is filed under the name uncultured bacterium. Its description in RNAcentral is "partial 16S ribosomal RNA". It matches the Rfam family "Bacterial small subunit ribosomal RNA", at positions 28 to 507 of the family's 1533-position model. The record is from RNAcentral.